Molecule: ribosomal RNA, 578 nt
Filed under: uncultured bacterium
Lineage: Bacteria
Description: bacterial SSU rRNA
Rfam family: Bacterial small subunit ribosomal RNA
Source: RNAcentral
CCUACGGGAGGCAGCAGUGAGGAAUAUUGGGCAAUGGGCGCAAGCCUGACCCAGCCAUGCCGCGUGAAGGAUGAAUGCCCUAUGGGUUGUAAACUUCUUUUGUACGGGACGAAUCUUCCGGACGUGUCCGGGACUGACAGUACCGUGCGAAUAAGCAUCGGCUAACUCCGUGCCAGCAGCCGCGGUAAUACGGAGGAUGCAAGCGUUAUCCGGAUUCAUUGGGUUUAAAGGGUGCGUAGGCGGGACAAUAAGUCAGUGGUGAAAGCCUGCGGCUUAACCGUAGAAUUGCCAUUGAUACUGCUGUUCUUGAGUACAGUUGAGGUGGGCGGAAUGUGUAACGUAGCGGUGAAAUGCUUAGAUAUUACACAGAACACCGAUUGCGAAGGCAGCUCACUAAGCUGUUACUGACGCUGAGGCACGAAAGCGUGGGGAGCAAACAGGAUUAGAUACCCUGGUAGUCCACGCCGUAAACGAUGAUCACUAGUUGUUGGCGAUAUACCGUCAGCGACUGAGCGAAAGCAUUAAGUGAUCCACCUGGGGAGUACGACGGCAACGUUGAAACUCAAAGGAAUUGACGG